Long non-coding RNA from Oncorhynchus tshawytscha (Chinook salmon), 390 nucleotides. The record is from Ensembl. NCBI's taxonomy places the organism in Eukaryota, Metazoa, Chordata, Actinopteri, Salmoniformes, Salmonidae.
GGCGGAGCUAUUGAAAGGGUGACGGAGGCAGAGCUAUUGAAAGUGUGACGGAGGCAGAGCCAUUGAAAGUGUGACGGAGGCAGAGCUGUUGAAAGUGUGACGGAGGCAGAGCUAUUGAAAGUGUGACGGAGGCAGAGCUGUUGAAAGUGUGACGGAGGCAGAGCUAUUGAAAGUGGGACGGAGGCGGAGCUAUUGAAAGGAUGACGGAGGCAGAGCUAUUGAAAGUGUGACGGAGGCAGAGCCAUUGAAAGUGUGACGGAGGCAGAGCUGUUGAAAGUGUGACGGAGGCAGAGCUAUUGAAAGUGUGACGGAGGCAGAGCUAUUGAAAGUGUGACGGAGGCAGAGCUGUUGAAAGUGUGACGGAGGCAGAGCUAUUGAAAGUGGGACGGA